This 468-nucleotide ribosomal RNA is filed under the name uncultured bacterium. Its description in RNAcentral is "partial 16S ribosomal RNA". It matches the Rfam family "Bacterial small subunit ribosomal RNA", at positions 28 to 507 of the family's 1533-position model. The record is from RNAcentral.
GACGAACGCUGGCGGCGUGCUUAACACAUGCAAGUCGAACGGAAAGGCCCUGCUUUUGUGGGGUGCUCGAGUGGCGAACGGGUGAGUAACACGUGAGUAACCUGCCCUUGACUUUGGGAUAACUUCAGGAAACUGGGGCUAAUACCGGAUAGGAGCUCCUGCUGCAUGGUGGGGGUUGGAAAGUUUCGGCGGUUGGGGAUGGACUCGCGGCUUAUCAGCUUGUUGGUGAGGUAGUGGCUUACCAAGGCUUUGACGGGUAGCGGGCCUGAGAGGGUGACCGGCCACAUUGGGAAUGAGAUGCGGCCCAGACUCCUACGGGAGGCAGCAGUGGGGAAUAUUGCACAAUGGGCGGAAGCCUAAUGCAGCAACGCCGCGUGCGGGAUGACGGCCUUCGGGUUUUAAACCGCUUUCGCCUGUGACGAAGCGUGAGUGACGGUAAUGGGUAAAGAAGCACCGGCUAACUACGUG